Molecule: ribosomal RNA, 501 nt
Filed under: uncultured bacterium
Lineage: Bacteria
Description: partial 16S ribosomal RNA
Rfam family: Bacterial small subunit ribosomal RNA
Source: RNAcentral
AUUGAACGCUGGCGGCAGGCUUAACACAUGCAAGUCGAGCGGGGGAAGGUAGCUUGCUACUGGACCUAGCGGCGGACGGGUGAGUAAUGCUUAGGAAUCUGCCUAUUAGUGGGGGACAACAUCUCGAAAGGGAUGCUAAUACCGCAUACGUCCUACGGGAGAAAGCAGGGGAUCUUCGGACCUUGCGCUAAUAGAUGAGCCUAAGUCGGAUUAGCUAGUUGGUGGGGUAAAGGCCUACCAAGGCGACGAUCUGUAGCGGGUCUGAGAGGAUGAUCCGCCACACUGGGAAUGGGACACGGCCCAGACUCCUACGGGAGGCAGCAGUUGGGAAUAUUGGACAAUGGGGGGAACCCUGAUCCAGCCAUGCCGCGUGUGGGAAGAAGGCCUUAUGGUUGUAAAGCACUUUAAGCGAGGAGGAGGCUACUCUAGUUAAUACCUAGGGAUAGUGGACGUUACUCGCAGAAUAAGCACCGGCUAACUCUGUGCCAGCCGCCGCAGUAA